RNAcentral lists this ribosomal RNA (468 nucleotides) under uncultured bacterium. Its description in RNAcentral is "partial 16S ribosomal RNA". It matches the Rfam family "Bacterial small subunit ribosomal RNA", at positions 28 to 507 of the family's 1533-position model. The record is from RNAcentral.
GACGAACGCUGGCGGCGUGCUUAACACAUGCAAGUCGAACGGAAAGGCCCUGCUUUUGUGGGGUGCUCGAGUGGCGAACGGGUGAGUAACACGUGAGUAACCUGCCCUUGACUUUGGGAUAACUUCAGGAAACUGGGGCUAAUACCGGAUAGGAGCUCCUGCUGCAUGGUGGGGGUUGGAAAGUUUCGGCGGUUGGGGAUGGACUCGCGGCUUAUCAGCUUGUUGGUGGGGUAGUGGCUUACCAAGGCUUUGACGGGUAGCCGGCCUGAGAGGGUGACCGGCGACAGUGGGAAUGAGAUACGGCCGAGACUCGUACGGGAGGCAGCAGUGGGGAAUGUGGCACAAUGGGCGGAAGCCUGAUGCAGCAACGCCGCGUGCGGGAGGACGGCCGUCGGGUUGUAAAACGCUUGCGCCUGUGACGAAGCGUGAGGGACGGGAAUGGGUAAAGAAGCACCGGAUAACUACGUG